CCUACGGGCGGCAGCAGUGGGGAAUAUUGGACAAUGGGCGAAAGCCUGAUCCAGCCAUGCCGCGUGUGUGGAGAAGGCCUUCGGGUUGUAAAGCACUUUCAGUGGGGAAGAAAGCCUUGGGGCUAAUACCCUCGAGGAAGGACAUCACCCACAGAAGAAGCACCGGCUAACUCCGUGCCAGCAGCCGCGGUAAUACGGAGGGUGCGAGCGUUAAUCGGAAUUACUGGGCGUAAAGCGCGCGUAGGCGGUCUGAUAAGCCGGUUGUGAAAGCCCCGGGCUCAACCUGGGAACGGCAUCCGGAACUGUCAGGCUAGAGUGCAGGAGAGGAAGGUAGAAUUCCCGGUGUAGCGGUGAAAUGCGUAGAGAUCGGGAGGAAUACCAGUGGCGAAGGCGGCCUUCUGGACUGACACUGACGCUGAGGUGCGAAAGCGUGGGUAGCAAACAGGAUUAGAUACCCUAGUAGUC
This 465-nucleotide ribosomal RNA is filed under the name Vreelandella stevensii. RNAcentral describes it as "partial 16S ribosomal RNA". It matches the Rfam family "Bacterial small subunit ribosomal RNA", at positions 338 to 795 of the family's 1533-position model. The record is from RNAcentral. Lineage: Bacteria; Pseudomonadati; Pseudomonadota; Gammaproteobacteria; Oceanospirillales; Halomonadaceae.